Molecule: long non-coding RNA, 403 nt
Organism: Leptinotarsa decemlineata (Colorado potato beetle)
Lineage: Eukaryota; Metazoa; Arthropoda; Insecta; Coleoptera; Chrysomelidae
Source: RefSeq, a predicted model, not a curated record
UACAUGUUCAUAACAAAACUGAAUAUUAUGUAGUGACUGAAAGUUGAAAGUAAUAAGUAUUACUUGUGUAGAUAAUGGAUACGAAAGCAGUCCUCCUCCAUCACUGGAUGUUUCGUUUGAUUUGGAUGACUCACUUGAGGAUCCACCUUAUUUUGCUUCAGAUGUGUCUGAUCAGAAUUAUGAUUUAAGUUCUUAUACCGCUGAAGUUAAUUCGAACGAAUAUUUUUUACUCCCAUGCACCAUGACAAAGGAAUCACAAACUUAUACCGACUCUUCCAAAAUAGACAAAAUAGUUGAUGUUGAUUUAGAAAAAGAUUCUAAUCCUUUGGAACCACAAGUUUAUUCAAAACCUAAAACUGACAAGAUAGGUGGUGUUGGUUCGGAAAAAGCUGGUGAUACUUUG